AAUAUUGGACAAUGGGGGCAACCCUGAUCCAGCCAUGCCGCGUGUGUGAAGAAGGUCUUCGGAUUUUAUAGCACUUUAAGUUGGGAGGAAGGGCUUUAGGUUAAUACCCUGAAGUUUUGACGUUACCAUUAGAAUAAGCACCGUCUAACUCUUUGCCAGCAGCCACGUUAAUACAGAGGGUGCAAGCGUUCAUCGGUAUUACUGGGCGUAAAGCGAGCGUAGGUGGUUCAGUAAGAUGGGUGUGAAAUCCCCGGGCUUAACCUGGGAACUGCUUUCAUAACUGCUGAGCUAGAGUACGGUAGAGGGUAGUGGAAUUUCCUGUGUAGCGGUGAAAUGCGUAGAUAAAGGAAGGAACACCAGUGGCGAAGGCGACUACCUGGACUGAUACUGACACUGAGGUGCGAAAGCGUGGGGAGCAAAC
Molecule: ribosomal RNA, 421 nt
Filed under: uncultured bacterium
Lineage: Bacteria
Description: partial 16S ribosomal RNA
Rfam family: Bacterial small subunit ribosomal RNA
Source: RNAcentral